CAACCCUCAAGCCCCCAGGGGCCUGGUGUUGGGGGACGGCGACCGCACUGCCCUGGCGCAGCGCCCGCCGCCCCCGAAAUGAAUUGGCGGUCUCGCCGUGGCCUCCUCUGCGUAGUAGCACAACCUCGCAACAGGAGCCCGGCGCGUCCACUGCCGUAAAACGCCCCAACUUUUCUCAG
Molecule: unclassified non-coding RNA, 179 nt
Filed under: uncultured Paecilomyces
Lineage: Eukaryota; Fungi; Ascomycota; Eurotiomycetes; Eurotiales; Thermoascaceae
Description: sequence contains ITS2
Source: RNAcentral